GAAACAGAGGGAAGUGAGUAGAUUCAUACUAAGGAAUGACUGACACCCUCUCCCGUGUGGCACUGGGGAGCACAGCGGCCUCUUCUGUAGGGAUCCAAAGCCCAGAAAUUAGAAACUGCACAGUACUGGGAUAAUGGAGGCUCAGGUUGUAUGCUGUGUUAGCCAACCAGCAGGCCAAACUGGCCACGUCCAAAACAGGUCACAAGGGAUCAGGACAGCCAGAGUCCUGGGCUGUGAGACCCCACAGAGACCACGGAGACAUGUUCUCGAAGGAAGACACGUACAUGCCACCCCCAGAGGAGAUAGAGAUGAGCCACUCUAAGGGACGCAUGAAAUCUCAUACUGGAGUGCCAUACUCACUCGGGACCCGAGCAUCUUACACACUGGAGUGCUGCACUCAAAGGGGACCUGAGCAUCUUACACACUGGAGCACUACACUCACAGGGGACCCAAGCAUCUUGCACAAUGGAGUGCUGUACUCACUCGGGACCUGAGCAUCUUACACAGUGGAGUGCCACACUCACUGGGGACCCAAGCAUCUUACGCACUGUAGACUUCAUGUUUCCUGACUGGGACAUAGCAUUAAUGCUUUCUUUGUAAAGUUAUGAUAACAAACGAAGUGAAAUGUACUUAAAUCAUCAUAUCGUAAGCACUCAAUAAACAUAGCUAUUAUUUAUUUCAGAAAUAUCAGGGUGCUUACCAUUGGGUACCUUUCUAGGCCCUGAAAACCUUUAUGGACUCAUGUUCUAGUAGCAGAGAUAAGCAAAUGGCAUCAUAUAGGACAGCUGACAUGACGUGCACCGUGACAAAAAGUGAAAUGCGAGACUUGGGAAAUCCAAAGCUGGGUUUAUUAUCUGAAAUAGCAAACGGGAAGGCCUGUGUGAUAAUGUUACAACCUGCUAGACCUAAAGGAGGCAAGAAGAAGAGCCGCGUGGAUAUUUGGAGGGAGGCUGAUCAGGACUGAGCAUGCAGAAAACACAGAACUCCCAAACAGCAAGCUUGGCCAGCAAGGAGUUAUGGCCAGUGCAGAGACAACCAGCUGCCAGCAACAGGAGGAUGGACCAGGGUGUCUGCAGCCUGGUGUCACAACGCGAAGGUUUAUAAGGACAGUCCCUAUCUUCUCUAGGGUUAGAAUGGAUGUUAGGUGCUUGUGAGAGGAGACCCUGGUCAGAUAUGCAUGUUCAGGUCUCUCUGGUCUGUCUCUAUGCUGAGGAAAGAUGAAGUGGCCAAGGGAAAGGCGGCGAGGUCCCUGGAGGGGCCACUCCAACAAUCGUGGGGGAGAUGGCAGAAACUUGGGAGUAAAUGAGAGCAGGAAGAGUGGGGGAAAGAUAAGAAUAAGGGAUCACCGUGUGCUGUGUUUUAGAAAGGAGGAGAAGGAAGUAACUCCACCUCCCAGCGCUACCCCUAACAACCCCUGGCAAUCCCUAAGAACCCCUAACAACCAUGCAUGCUGCUGAAAGAAUCAGGGCAGGGCCAGGCAGACCAGCAACAUGGGGUAUGGUAGAGCAAGUCCUGCAGAAUAUGCCACUCGCCUGUCUGCAAACAGUUCGGUGGUAGACAUGCCACACGUAUUGACCCCUUCAGGCAGGGCUCACCACCUUGCUCUCAGCAGUGGCAAAGGGACAGAAGGUGAGUGUUCCCCAGGUGAAGAGCAACAGAAUCCAAGUCAGCUCGGGAGGCAGCCUUGUUCACCAGGCAUUCCACAGGGUGGAGUGUGGAGAUUGCUCCCUGGAUCCCGGGUUUAUACACAAUGAGGCAAGAGAAACAACAGGGCCUCUCUCUGCCAGACAGCUGGGAGGCAGCCUCAGCGUCAGCAAUGAAAUCUCUUCUCACAAUACCAACUUAACUCAGGUGUGUACGAGCCAGUCCUUUCAUUAAAAAGUUAUUUAUCAAAUCAAAUAUGGAGAAUCACCAACAUCCAUGUGCCAGCCACCCACUUGGGCAUCUUAUCUCCAGACUGCUAGUUUUGGAACUAAGACAUUGAUAGCUAAAACCUUGCUAACUUUUAUUUUCAAAUAGAAAGUGCAAAAUCCAAGGAGUUCCAAGUUAGGGCUCUCUGGCUUUUCUGUCUAAAGUACGGAAGAAUUUCUAUCCUGGGGGGCUAGUUUGCCCCACCAGCUCUCAGACAGUCACUGAGGUAGUGACUUCAGUCUCACUAGGCUUGUUUUAGGGUGGCACUCCCUUCGCCCAACACCCACAGUGCCAAGACUUCUGGGAGUGGCUAUGGGAUGCCAACACUCUGCUCCUUAAGACAGACUCCAUGCCGUUCUGCCACCAGGACGGCAGCCAAUGGAAACUCAGCAGACAACUAACUGGCUGGCCUCACAUCUUCCUAGGGGUGGGGCUGCUGGGUACUGAGCUGCUCAGGUGAAUGCUCAUGAUUGCUGGCAGGUCUCUGAAGCCAGUCACACCUGCACAGCCUUCUUUGGGCACGCCCCAGCCUCACGGCCCAGAGGGAAUUGCCCAACUUAUCUGGCUGCACUCAACAGGGACACUGGUGGCUCCUACCUCCCAGAGUGAGGGAAGGACCAGCUGGUGGUACCUACCCAGUGCGCAUUCUGGGUGAGGAACAAGGACAAGAGACACUGCUGGCAGCUGCGUGAAGAUACCCACCACCGGCCUCAGUGUCCCCUAGAGGCCAGACACCUGCCACCAUGCAGAAAAGCUGCAGUGGAGGAGGAAAAGACAAGAAGUUGGUUCUCCAUGGCCUCAGAGAUCUGGAAGAACAUCAGUGGGCAGAGAGUAUCCGGUUUCAUUGUCACCUGAGGCUUACAGUUGGUCACUGGCCAAAAAGGACAGUUUUGGCUUCUACUGUCUUUGCUAUACAUGAAGAAUAAACAAGUACAGAAUAUCCCAGUCCACACAUCCUACCCUAUUGGGAGCUAAGAGCUUGCCCUGCCCUUCCUCAGAGGAAGCUGAAUUUCAAGGCAAGCACCACAGCCCACGCCAGGACAGCCCAGCUCUCUUUCCUCCCUUCUAGGACACCAGCAGGGAGCAGAUCAGGCGAAGGUAAUUACAACUCUGCUUCAUGCCCUUAAUGUUCCACAGCCCAAUUUGAUUAUGAUAAUGGUAAAGAAGGAGAAGCCACUGGCCCUUCCUCUGGCCUCCCGGGGGCUGCUGCGGGCCGCUGGGCGAGGGCUAAGUCAUCCAUUACCUCUCCCCGCCUGGAAUGCGGGAUGAGCUCAGCUGUCAAGGGGAAUAAAUCACUUUCGAGAGGCUGGAGGUGCUCUGAGAGCAGGAUGGAAGGCAAAUCUGCAGAUGAAGAGCCUGGUCAUGCUCAUCACACUUGCCUGUGUUUAGCUCUAGUUUUCUGAGGAGCCAGACAAGAGCCACGGGCUUCUUUCGGGAUCCUCUGCUCUGAUACAGCACCAAUCAAGAUACCUUAGUCUGCAGCAGCUAAUUGUCAGAACAUUCUACCACAAAUUCACUGCUCAAGCUGCUGGCUGGAGGGGUACAUGACUGCCAGGCUCAAAAACAAAAACAAAGCUGGGUGGUGGUGGCGCAUGCCUUUAAUCCCAGCACUUGGGAGGCAGAGGCAGGGGGAUCUCUGACUUCGGGGCCAGACUGGUCUAUAGGAGCUAGUUCCAGGACAGGCUCCAAAGCUACAGGGAAACCCUGUCUCAACACACACACACACACACAAUCAAACAUAUUUGGUCUGCCUACCCACAAACCCUUGCCUCUACCUGGUCUGCUGUCCAUCACAACCAUUCAAAUUAGCUGUAGACACCAAAUGCCAUUUUUUCUGUUCCUCUGUACCAGGUGCCAUCUCUGACUCUGAAAUGACCCAUCCUGGUCACCAAAAGAACCAGAUGGCCCCGCCCCCAGAUGGGCUUUUCUUAAGGCACUAACGAACCAGUUAGCCACGGAUAUAAAUGCAGGCUGUCUGCCGCUUUUCUGCCAUCUAGAAAAGGCUGCUGCAAGGAGAGGAAAAUGUCAGCCAUCACAGAGCCACAAAGGUGGGACGCAGAGCCUCGGGUGUGGCUGCUCACCUGCAGGACUUGUCACCAGGAAGCAUGGCAGCCCUGUGCCUUCAGCUGGCAUUUAUCUUAUGCUAGCCUUUCAAUCAGGACCCCACUUAAGCUGUUUUACGUAUUUCUAUCCUUUGCAGCCCCAAAUCAUAAUUUAUCAAGCACCAGUGAUAUUAUAGAAUUCUAUCCCAAAGUAUUACCCUGUGUCCCGGUGGGGAUUCUAGCAUGGGAAACUAGGAGAUUGUGUACUGUGCAUUUUGUAAUGUUAGGAUGUCAACUGUUGUCUUUUAAAAUGGGUGAACGGUUCCGACUGGUUCCUAAAGUUAGGGCUUAAGAAGAAGGAGAAAAGUACAGGAAGCACUUCCUGUUGCUACUCUAGUCACAUGACUGGAAGAAGGAAGGAGACUAGGACUGGAUCAGUGUGUCUCAGCUGGCUGCUGGUGCUCACUAACACUAGCAAGCAUCAAUCUCCCGCACUUAGAACACUCUCCCUAUUCCUGGGCAGAAGAGCCUCUCUUUUUCUGAAAGAUGGCACUGUAACAACCAGUCCUGUGUUCCUUGAAACUUGCUGCUGAGGGUCGCAGAGACCUGUCCUAACUGGAUUCCAGGCCCUUACCUUUCCAUCAGACAGUGUGCCACUGGUCUAAUCCAUUCUUCCCCAUGAAACUUUAUCUUAACUGGGACCCUUCUGGUCCUCUACUGCCUUCCACUGCAAUUUGGGCAUCCUGCCCCAGAUAGCACGCUGGCCAGCCAGCAUCCUAGGUACCCAAAGCAGGAAGCAGCUUCACAGCAAGGCUGAAUCACCCUUCACCGAUUGCACACGACUGUGCGCAUUUUACACCGAAACGAAAGAGCCUCCAUUCCAAUUUCUAGGAGGACGCACUUGCUACUGCUUUUCUGUGCUUUCGUGGAUUUGUACCCGUGAGUAUACAUCCACAGAAUGAGCAGAAAACACAGUGCUUGGCACAAAGGCUAGGCUGCUUGCUAAUGCCUAGCUCUACUCACUGGCAAUCGAGUCUGUUUGCCUCUCUGCGUGCUAUGCGUUGCUAUAGAUGCAAUCAGCAUUGCCCGGCUACUCCAUCCAUUAAGACAACCGGGCUUUCCAAUGGAUCUGUAGCUGUAAUUUUCAAACGUGAGAUGUUUUCUUUUUUUUUUUUUUUUCUUUCAUGCUGGGGUCCCGCCAAGGGCAUCAGCUGAGAGGUGAUAUCAGACAGAUCCUUUUUGCUGGGUAACCAGCCCUCUGCUGCUCCCUCCUAAAGCCAUUAACCCUUUGUCCUAGGGAGUGUCAGACACCUCGGGGGACCUGACCUGAGCAUUCCUUUCCUGAGCCCUUGGGUAGCACUGAUGGACACGCUGACUGCACAUCUUGUCAGGUGGUCACAGUGAGAGAGAAGGGGGUGUCCCGGGCCACACAAAGCCCUGGCUCAGAAAGCUCCAUUUUCCUAGGACAGUGCUUGAGGCAGAAUUCCAACACCUAUAAAUAAAACUACUGAGACUAUUGUAAGCUGAUGGCUAGGAGCUUUGUUCCAAACCUACAUUUAUCAUAAGAUAAUCCAACUGUUUCUGUUUUAUGGUUACGGAGAGCCACACGAAUGUUCUUUGUGUUCUUCUGUACAGGUUCUGAACUGCUGUCGCAAGGGCAGUAGGGGAAGUGACAUUUUAGCGGAAUCAGAGUUAAAAACCUGUGUUCGAUGGAAGAUUCAUUUGAAACUAAAGUUUGUUAAAGAACCCCUCUGUCCUCCUCACAUGCAACUGUGGGGAUGAGCAUGUCUGCACGUGUGUGGGCAUCUUCCUUGACCUGUCCCUAUCUCCCGAGCACUAGGAUCCUAGGCAGGCAUCACGCAUGCUCAGCAUCUGUAUGGCUUCUGGGACCUGAACUCUGGCGUGAACCUGGGUCCUCAUGCUCACACAGGGUUUUAGCCACUGAGCCUGUUCAUGGCCCUACAUGGCCAGUCUUUAGUGAGCUCAUUCUUCAAAGCUGAGUCUAUGUCUGAAUUUCUCUGAACCUAUAGAAUUACAGGACCAACAAUUCAAUUUCUCAAGAAAAUGGUCUAACAAUCAAGCUUACCUAUACUUUAAACAUCUCCUGUAACAAGUAUUCAAGAUCAGUUCUCCCCCAACUGAAUUGUCCUCACUUUCGACCUACUCCAGAGCUAUAUGCAGGACAGAUGUAUGCAGACAAUUAAACAAGACAUUUCCUGUUAACCCAACUCUUAACAUUCAUUAAUUCAACAGAAGACUCUCACUGACAAGCUGAACACUGAAUAUCUACUCAAACAUGGAACUUAUAGAUUAUAAGUACCUGUGAAUAUCAUGGAAAGGGGCACAGACUUCUUAUUUAAACAGAAGAAUAUGGUUUGAAAGAAAAAAUUAUAAUCUAUGUGCUGCCAAAUAAGACAAUUGCUACUUAAGCUCAGAAGAAAUAAGCCCCUUGUGUUUGUAGGCAGCUGACCAAGUUUGGGAUUGAGACUGUAUUUUCUCCGGGGACAUGGGGUUCAGUCUAUGGAUACAGAUAAAUUGAAGCAAAUGGUUGGUUCCCUCCAGGGGGAGAGAGAAAUAUCAAGUUGCUUUCAGACAUCAAGAGAACAUGGGCCCUUUUGCUGUGGCAUUGGACAUCCCACUGAUCUGUAUGAAGCGCUCGCCCCUUGCAUAUUACAGCUCAGAGCAUCUUCCUGACAGCCUGGGGGCCAUACAUGGAGACACCUGGCCUGCCCUUAUAGCCUGCCUUGGAAGAUUUGGGGAACACUGGCUCAUUUGAGUUUAUUGUCUUGUCAUUAUGUCUCCCAGAAGGCCACUCCCACAAAGCAUAGGUGAGCUUGUGCCCAGGGCACACUAAGGGUACGGCAAGCUUCCUUCCUCUCCAGCAUUGUACUGUGUGCUCCCCUCACACCAGGGCAGGUCCUGCACUGUCACUGGCUGAGCUUUAGUGACAUUGUGAAGAAGCCUACAUGCCCAUUCUCCAUACAGCAUGUGCCGGUCCUUUUAACAGCACUGUGAUCCCCACUCCCUCCGCUCCUACCGUCGGCCCAGGAGAAUCCAUUUCCUAAGAGAGCUUGUUUGUUUUAACUUGUCUGUGAUCCUGUUUCCACUCCAGUUCUUGCUCCAUUCAACGUAAACAAUUUACCCACUCAGUCAUGAGGGAAAAUGGAAAACACACUUGACAAGCAGAUUUCGUGUUCCUGGGAGACAAUGCCAGCAGCAGCCAUGCAGACAAGAUGGGGAAGUAGCACAGAGGGAACUCCGAGGAC
Molecule: long non-coding RNA, 7219 nt
Organism: Alexandromys fortis (reed vole)
Lineage: Eukaryota; Metazoa; Chordata; Mammalia; Rodentia; Cricetidae
Exons: 4
Source: RefSeq, a predicted model, not a curated record